This 302-nucleotide ribosomal RNA is filed under the name uncultured bacterium. RNAcentral's name for it is "partial 16S ribosomal RNA". It matches the Rfam family "Archaeal small subunit ribosomal RNA", at positions 458 to 761 of the family's 1478-position model. The record is from RNAcentral.
GCAGCCGCCCGGGAAUACCAGCACCUCGAGUGGUCAGGAGGUUUAUUGGGCCUAAAGCAUCCGUAGCCGGUUGCAUAAGUUUUCGGUUAAAUCUAUGCGCUUAACGUAUAGGCCGCCGAAAAUACUGUGCAGCUAGGGAGUGGGAGAGGUACACGGUACUCGAUAGGAAGGGGUAAAAUCCUUUGAUCUAUUGAUGACCACCUGUGGCGAAGGCGGUGUACCAGAACACGUUCGACGGUGAGGGAUGAAAGCUGGGGGAGCAAACCGGAUUAGAUACCCCUGUAGUCCCUGUCUCUUAUACA